RNAcentral lists this unclassified non-coding RNA (1756 nucleotides) under Leishmania donovani. Its description in RNAcentral is "gene:unknown". The record is from RNAcentral. Lineage: Eukaryota; Euglenozoa; Kinetoplastea; Trypanosomatida; Trypanosomatidae.
UUCACCAGCACACACCGACCGGUACGAAUACCGCGACAAGGAAGCGUAGAUGUACACUCGUUUUCUCGGGCCCUGGUCCGGGAAUAUAUAUGGACCCCUUGCACCCCAGGAUGACAUAGCAGAGUCGACUGCACGCCGCACCGCAGCAGCGCAGAGAGCAGUUAGGUGUGCAUCUGCAGUUUCGCGCGCGUUAAGGAAAACCAGCUUGCGCCCAUGAUCUUGAGGCAUAUCUGUCCCGGCUCCAUUUGCGGCGCUGAUGCUUUGGCGGCAAAUCGGGCAUGCGUUUUUUCGCGUCCUUAUGGCCAUUUACCGGGUACUUCCACAUUUGGGGCUAGCGCUGCUUGUGUAGCCGCUACCUGUCAAGCGCACAAAAUUGUAUCAGCCCCACACUGGCCGGGCGAAGAGAGAAAACCAGAGUAACGCCGAACCGAGGCACCACAUCAUCGUAAACAAGGACGCACGAUGACAGCCGAGAAGCACGAUAUGUUCUCAGCAACGUUAAUGCAGACGCCCUGUUCGCACGGGUCGUGUGAGGUCAAAGGGUUGUGAGGGAUACUUUCGAGGGAGGUGUUUUGUUUGUGAUGCUCGCCCCCGACCAUCGGGCAUGCAGUUUCCCAGUAUAGGAGAACUAUGCGCGUUCGCUUGCCGCAGCCCUUUGUCCCUCGACAGCAACCUUGCCCUGAUCACGCUGCGUGAUGUGAACAUGCUGGCCGCCCCUACGCGCACAACAGCUCGUCCUUAAAACCCUUUUGCUCGGCGAUGGCGGCUUAAAGGUAGAAGGCCACAAACGCCAUAACCUUGGAAGCCACCACGGCAGGGCACGCACCCGCCGACAACGGUUGCUUGCGGCAGUGGUGGUUACUGCGGCGAGCUCGAAAUACGAGUGUAUCAUGUAGCGCUUUCGCCACGGGAACGACGCUGGAGUAGGCUACAAAGCCUAUCGGAAGGACGCAGAGGGCAUAGCAAUUUUGUUCCAGACACCAUGGCCACACAUCGCGGCGGCAACCCGGAGCGCCGCACAGCGGAAUGCUGGCACCAUGGGAAGGGCAAACGGAGGCGUAUCUCACCUGCAGCCCGCGAAGUGUACGACCACCCUUGCCCCAGAGUUUUGUGGGCGAAGGAUAGCGCCUAAUAAGAGCAUGUGCUUGCACACCCGCCUCCGCAGGUGACGCAUCAAGGGGCGUGUGUGCACGCGAACAGCCCCGCUGAUUUGCAGCGCGCUUACUGUAAUUUAGAGGUGGGUGUUGACGUGCCGGGUGUGUGUGCUGACCCCCCCGCUGUGUCACCUUCAUGGUCGGGAACGGAUAAGAAUAGCAACAUUGAACCCGGAACCUGGCGUGUGCACGGUGCUUACUAACACCGGAAGUACUUAGAUUUUCGUUAACGUAUUCUCUUCGUUGCGUUUUAGCGUUUGACUUGCACCUGGUAGGGCUGCACUGUGCUGGACGGCUAGGCAGGUAUUUAUUUCGUGGUGCAGGGGAGCUGUGUUUGAAGUGGGCCCCUUUCGGUUACCCUUUGCUUGGAAAACGUGGUGUAUAAGAAAGGUCCCGCUGCCUUUCUUCUUCAUGUUUGGGUGGAUUCUCUCUCCAUGUGGAUAGUGCGCGGUGGUCGAUGGUAGCUCCUCCGGGCGUGAAUAUAAUUAUGAUUGAUGCUCUUGAUUUGAAAAGGCAAGAAUAACGAUGGCCUAGCUCUCAAUAAAGUGUCCCUUUCAUUUUUAUCCUCCUCUGCUUUGAUCUUUUCACUUCAUUUUUCGCAG